AAUUUGCAGAGGAUGCUUUUGGUGCGGUGCCUUCCAAGUUCCCUAGAACGGGACGCCAGAGAGGGUGAGAGCCCCGUACAGUUGGACACCAAGCCUUUGUAAAGCUCCUUCGACGAGUCGAGUAUUUGGGAAUGCUGCUCAAAAUGGGAGGUAUAUUUCUUCUAAAGGUAAUUACCGGCCAGAGACCGAUAGCGUACAAGUAGAGCGAUCGAAAGAUGAAAAGCACUUUGAAAAGAGGGUUAAACAGCCCGUGAAAUUGUUAAAAGGGAAGUGCUUGUGACCAGACUUGCGNUCGGCGAAUCACCCAGGUCUCGCGGNUGGGGGACUUCNCCGGCUCAGGGCA
Molecule: ribosomal RNA, 343 nt
Filed under: fungal endophyte sp. DM184
Lineage: Eukaryota; Fungi
Description: eukaryotic LSU rRNA
Rfam family: Eukaryotic large subunit ribosomal RNA
Source: RNAcentral